UACGUAGGGUGCGAGCGUUGUCCGGAAUUAUUGGGCGUAAAGAGCUUGUAGGCGGUUUGUCGCGUCUGCCGUGAAAUUUCGAGGCUCAACCUCGAACUUGCGGUGGGUACGGGCAGACUAGAGUGUGGUAGGGGAGACUGGAAUUCCUGGUGUAGCGGUGAAAUGCGCAGAUAUCAGGAGGAACACCAAUGGCGAAGGCAGCUCGCUGGGACGUGACUGACGCUGAGACGCGAAAGCGUGGGGAGCAAACAGG
This 253-nucleotide ribosomal RNA is filed under the name uncultured bacterium. RNAcentral's name for it is "partial 16S ribosomal RNA". It matches the Rfam family "Bacterial small subunit ribosomal RNA", at positions 524 to 776 of the family's 1533-position model. The record is from RNAcentral.